ACAAGCUUUCAAUUUACAGUCUUUAUUUAAAUUACUGUCAAAUAUAAAUUGUGCAUAUAUAUUAGUUUAGAACUACGUUUGAGUAUAAACCUUAGGACAGUUAAACUAUAUAUAUAUAUAUAUAUAUAUAUAUUAUAGGAAUAUGACCUAGGAUUGAGAAUGUCUUCCCGGUGAAGGCUCUUUCCUAAUUAGAGAUCUGUAGUUCAAACCCCCAAGAUGAAUUAUUCCCAGUGAAACAUCUUGGCAAAAACCUUAGAAUCCAAAAAUAUAGGACACAUCCACCCAAAGAGGAAUUAUUCCCGGUGAAACCUCUUACCCAUUUGCUUAGAGCCAAAAUAAGUUCAAAACUACAUAGCUUUCUCUUGUGCUAUAACAAGGACCCUCGAUUAGCCUCCUCUUGGGCUUUGUACAAGGACCCACAGGCUUCUUAAAAGCAUUUCCAGCUUCCUCUUGAGCUUGUAUACAAGGACCCAUCAGGUUUCUUAUAAACAUAGGAACAGGUCUUUAGUCACCUUUUAGCCUACCCUGGUGAGUUUUCUUCCAAUUUAAACCAGACUUUUAACAAGCCAAGUUUAUCUCAAUUUUGCAUUGAGUACACCUUUUGGAAUGAGAGACAUGGACAGUCUCUGUCACCCUUAUCUUCAUCAAUCUUCCUUAGCAGAGUCUAGGAUCCAUAUUUGCUUAUCCUCAACAUGAGUCAGCCUUCAUCUUGGGCUUUAAACAAGAAGUCUCCACUAGAUAAUCUUUCUGCCAUUCACCAAAAGAGUCAAAACCCCUGGAAAGGGUUAGCCUCCAAAUCAAUCCAUCAUUUCAAUAAAAACCCAUGGAAAGGGUUAGCCUCCAAAGUCAAUUAAUCAAAAAGAGUCACGACCCCUGGAAAGGGUCAGCCUCCAAAAAACAUGAUAAAGUCAGUCUUUUAACAGACAAUUUCUCCAGCUAAGUCAAAACCCCUGGAAAGGGUUAGCCUCCAAAAUCAGUCUUUCAAAAAUCAAAGAUUCAUUCUCUUAGGAGAUAAUCUCCCCAAAUAGAGUCUCCCUAAGUAGAGUCAGCCUCAAUUCUGGGCUUCGUACAGAACACCAAAAAAUCCUUAGUUUAAAUACUCCCCAGUAGAGUUAUCAUUUCAAUAAAUCAAUAAAAUCAAUCAAAAAGCCUCAAGCUUGGGCCUCAUUCAAGCCAGCUAAAGUCAAAUCUUUCAUAUAGUAAAUAGACAUAGCUUAUCUCUAUAGAGAGAUAUUUUUACUACUCUACCACAUUCAAACAAACAAACAUUUCAAUUUCAAUUUCAUUCAAUGUCUCCCAUUUAGGACUCUGAAAGACAUGCUCUGGCACAUCCCCAGACUUGUACACUUUCCCUAAUUUGGAUGAGCAUCUUUCUUUCAUUUUAGAGGCACGAUGGCUGUCAUACUUGAUCAACCAAGUAGACUCCCCUCUUAAUGAAACAUCAUUUUUUUUAGCUUUUCUGUCACUUUUAAAUGUUUGUGGUAGAAUAGUACAAAUACCUCUCUGUAAAGAUGAUUUCAUGUCUCUUUACUGUAAACAGAGAUUUAAUUCCAAGCUUCAACCUUGAGCUUCAAGCAAGGCACCAAAAACAAGUAAUUUCCCUAGUUAGUUCCCCGAACUACAUUAAGCUCUGACUUCCACUAGGGAUAUGUAGGCAUGAGGUUCACAAGGAAUCUCAGCGAGCUAAUAAAAUACCAAAAAUAGUCAGUCUGUCUAUCUGUCUGUCUUUCUUUAAUCAAUUCAAUUCUCUCUCCUAACACAAAGGAGAAACUUUCCCAAUCAUUAGCAGCAAACACAAUCACAAUGACACAGAGAAGGUUCCUGUAGAGUACUACAGAUAUGUAGGGUGUUUAAACACUUCCCUAUGUAUAACCGACCCCCCGGACUCCAGAAUUUCUAGUCUAGGUGAAAUCCCCACACUUAGCAAACUCCUAGGGUUUAGUUGAGAUCUUUUUUUCCCUUUCCUACUCGUAGGACCAAUAAGAAAGUUCGUGUGAUAUCGUAGGAAGAACUGAAACAAAAUUCAUCCCACCACGGGCGCAUUCUCCUUCCAAAUUUCGCGUGAAGGGUUUAGCGUGCCGUCCUCCCAAGUGAAACGGGGAGGUAAAGAAAACGACACCACAACACCUACUGAGGUCGGAGUUGAUCUCCUUAAAGGAUCCCCCUAAGAAUCCUAGUACUUCUGCUCGUAGCUAUGAUCCUAAUGUGAGGUGUGCAUACCACUCUGAUAGUCCUGGUCAUGAUACAAAUAGCUGCUGGUCAUUGAAGAACAAGAUUCAAGACAUGAUCGAUGCUGGAGAAAUUGAAUUCCCUCAUCCCAAGACUCCUGUGAUGAUCACCGCUCCUAUGCCUAGUCAUGACAAGACUGAUUGACGUCUAGACGGACGAACUUUUGGAUCAUUAGUUCUACUUUCGUUUGCAAGUCCUUAUUCUGUUUGUUUAAACAUUUGAAUCAUGAUAGACAUUAUCUGUUUUAAUAAUCAUCAUCAGUGCAUUGCAUAUUCUUGUCUUGAAUAAAUUAUUUCGUUAUCACUCAUUUAAACUGCAUCUUUACUUUGCAUAUGUUUUAUGAUACUUAACUCCUGCUAAAGCUGUAUACCUUUUGAGGGAGAAUGACAAAAACGAUACCGCAACCUCAUACGGUAUGCUUUUGAGCGGACUAUGCUGACGAUGUACAGGCAUUGUUUCAAUUCCUAAACAGUGGAGAUAUAAGGAUGUUAAUCCCUCGUCAACUCCUUUGAGCCUAAGAAGUAGAAGUUUCUUUCUUGUAAAAAUUAAAACCCUUGAUCAUAACCUGGGGCAGGGUAGUUCUCAGUUAAUUUGGUUGUGCAUUCUAUUUUAAGAGAACCAUUCAGUACACCUUUCAACGAAGGUUUCAAUCACAAGCGUUCAUCCGCACACAUCAAAGAAGUGUUGGAGAUGUCGAUCAAAAGCCAAUGAUGGUUCAUCAAUCAUUAAGCAAGGCAGUCAAUAUCCUUUCAAACAAAAAAAAUGAAAAAACAUAUACAAAGCAUGCUAAGUCAAAAAUCAAAAGAACAAAAAUCAAGGCAUCCCGUUAGCUCAAGAUAGACAGUUCAGGCAAAAGUUAGGGAUAUCAAAAAGAUGAAAAAAGAGAAGUCAAUAAAUUCCUGAACAACACAAUGAUGUGACUACCAAAAGGAAGAAGUGACUGCCAUCUCAAAAUUUCUAUUUGCUUGAGAACCAUCAUCGUUAUCAAAAGUGAAAAUCCAAAAGUCUCUUGGAAACUGAAUGCAAGUUAAAUUAACUGAGCUUAGGAUCGAAGAUCAUCACGAAGAGGGGUGGGUACAAUCAAAUUUUGAGCCGUUAUCCUUUGUUUCUUAGACCGUGAUCCGAGCCACGUUACAACCCUUAAAAGUCCUAACUGAAGCAUGGUUAGUUCGAAAGCAUACUGUCAUCAAAAAGGUAUCCCGACUCCUUAAGGUUCACCACAAAUGCCGAGUUGGUAUCUCGUCUUUUACAAAACAUCACGUUUUUACAAAAAUCAUGUUUGUAUCGCGCUUUUACAUCUCCUGUUUAAUGUUUUUCCAAAAAACUCAAGACAAACGUAUGCAUUGCAUCUCAUGAAUUCAUUAUUAAACAUAUUUUUCUACAUAAUUUCGAAUGUUAGUAUCAGGAAGAAUUUGCACAUGGUACAACUAAUGACUAAAAGUUAUCCCGACAGACAAAAUCACUUCAGAAGCAAUGUCUCUUAUGUGUACAAGGGGGCAUGACAUGGUUUAUCCAGUCAAUCUGGGGUAAUUAAGUCAAGAUUCCGAGAAUCUCUCAAAUGCCAACACAAUCAGGGGCAUACACCCAAGUGGGUCUGAAGCUACUUCCCAAUCAGUCAGAGGCAUCAUACUAGUUACUAGGGGCAUGACGCCCAUAGUGCACAUCUCAUCAAGUCCUCGCGAGGCGAAUCUUUCCAAAAGUCCCUACUAGCAGGGGCAAAUCUAUGCAAGUCCAGUUUGACAUCUUAAUCAAUACUCAGUGGUGUGUCCUAAUCAAUAUAAAUCACUGGGGGCAAUAUUCAAAGCAUUCAUGCCUUUCCACAAAGCCGGUUACACAGGAUCAUAUCCCCCACAGAGUAAUCAUUAAGAAGAUAUCUUCAAAUGCUCUCGUCCCGACAAAGACAUGGCUCCCCAACAAAGUUUACAUCUUCAACACUACCGGUUCUCCAACACUUUUCUCUUCUCCAACAUGGUGUAUUAAUAUCUCUAAUCCCCAAUCAGGGUACAUCAAGUUACUGAUCGUCCCCAAGCAGAAAUCAUAAAUCCCCAGCUGAGCACCUUCAAGAUAAGAUCGGACAGUAAAAUCACAAGGAUACAGAGAUUUAUUUUCUCAAUCGAGACAACAAAAAAUCAUAUUCACAUAUCACAUGUCAUAAACAUAUUCAUACAAUUGCAUACACAUUCAUACAUAAUACAUAAAGCAUCGCGAAAAGUGCGUACAUAACAUGCGAGGUUCUCAUUUAUUUUGAGAAUCCUGUCACAUAAACGCAUUACAUGCAUCAUGACAUGGCAUAAAGAAAACUAACUUUACCUUCUUUAGGUUACUACUGCAGUCAAAAUAAACAUUAUCUAUCUUCAGAUCUAAGUCGAUACCUUUGACGGUUCCUUAAUGAUCUAACUUUGGAGUUAAGUUGAUACCUUGGACGGUUCCUUAAUGAUCCACCUUCAGAGUUAAGUCGAUACCUUGGACGGUUCCUUAACAAUCUACCUUCAGAGUUAAGUCGAUACCUUUGAUGGUUCCUUAAUGAUCUACCUUUGGAGUUAAGUCGAUACCUUGGACGGUUCCUUAAUGAUCCGCCUUCAGAGUUAAGUCGAUACCUUGGACGGUUCCUUAACAAUCUACAUUUAGGUCUAAGUCGAUACCUUGGACGGUUCCUUAAUGAUCUACCUGGGGAGUUAAGUCGAUACCUUGGACGGUUCCUUAAUGAUCCACCUUCAGAGUUAAGUCGAUACCUUGGACGGUUCCUUAACAAUCUACCUUUAGAUCUAAGUCGAUACCUUGGACGGUUCCUUAAUGAUCUACCUGGGGAGUUAAGUCGAUACCUUGGACGGUUCCUUAAUGAUCCACCUUCAGAGUUAAGUCGAUACCUUGGACGGUUCCUUAACAAUCUACCUUUAGAUCUAAGUCGAUACCUUGGACGGUUCCUUAACGAUCUACCUUCAGAUCAACUUUUCAAAAUCUAAAAGCAGUUCCGUAACGAUCAACAUUCAAAUAACUACUUCUCAAAACACUUCAUACUCACAACACCGGAUGGCAUCUUCAAGCCCAUUUCCGACAAAGGUCCCUACUUCAGCUAGGGCAAAUUUCUUGGUAUUCUAGUGUUCAAUCAUCUUCCACCUUCAGAUACCGACUGGCAUACAAACCACUCUACAUCUUCAGGUUUAAGACAAUUGAACAGGGGCAGCUGUCAUACCCCAAAAUUUGCCCUCAUAUUUUUACAAACGCCAUUUUAUUUAGAAUAAAUGAAUUGACGUACUUGGUAAGAAUUUGAGCGUGAAAGAUACAAUAGCGCGAGAUCCCGUGUUCGAGUCUCACUACUAACAGUUUUCUUUAUUAUUAUUAUUAUUAUUAUUAUUUUUUUGUUACUAACUUAAUUUCCGUUUUAAAUGACUUUUUCUUAAAAUCACAAAAAAAUUGUUCUUUAUUAUUUGAAAUUAAUUUUCAUAGUUUUUUUACUUUUUCCAAAAAAAUAAAAUAAAAAAGAUUUUAAAUUCUACACAUUUUUUACAUUUUAGGUUAGUUUUUUUUAUUAGUUAAAUAUAAUCAUAAAAAACUCAUUUAAGAUAAUUCUUUUUGUUUGGGCUUUUGGUUAUUUUUUAAUUAAUUAUGGUCCAUUAAAUUUAACCUAAUUUUGUAUAUUAUAAAUAGGAACAAGACCCUGACUUUCACGGGAUUCACGUACAAUUUCACCACUGUACAUACACAACAAACCCAUAUACUUUCAUCCUCAUACCACCAAUUGAAUCCUUAUUUUCACGUCACUGAUAUUCAUGUGCAAAGCUUGCACCCUUUUGUUCUGCACACCAUCAUUUUAAUAUUUUUACACUAUACACUCACAUAUAAUUUUUUACACUGUAAAUACCAAGAUUAACAAUUAACAAAAUUUUUCACACUUUGUUACUCAUACAAUUUUUGUUUUUUUCUCAUAUUUUUAGUCAUCUCUCAUGUAUUCAAACUACACAAAAUCCAUACUAAUUACUACAAAUCCUUACAUAUUCUAACGAUUUGCAUCAAGGUUUUUUUUUGCAGCCAACUACACAGUAGAACCGAUGAUGAUGAAGAAAGUUGUUCACAACUGAGAACCUUCGGCGAAACUCCAGCAACCGCACGGCCGCGAAACACCGUUUCCGCCGGGAUCCACCACUCUCAGCCACCGUCAAAUCGCGGUGAAGCCCAGCCAUCGGAAGCACCUCCGACGAUACCCGAUCCGCUUCGUCGAUCUGCAUCAAACGUAUGUGUUCCAUCUCUUCCGCCGCUUCAGCCGCCGUCGACGACAUCCCGUCGGAUCUAUCUUCAAAUCCGUCACUUGUACUACCAUCAUGAGCAUUGGACUGUUUUGCAGACAUGCAUAGCUUGUGCAUGCAUGGAUUGAUCCAACGCUUUCCAUGGUGAACCUUAAAGAUUCGACCACACCUGAUUAUAGCAUUCAGGUCACAACAAGUUUUCUUAAUAAACCUUAGGGGUUUAUUGUUAGGGUUGGCAUUUCCCUUUCUCUUCUUCGUGCCAAAUUUUCAGGGUUAAACAAAAUCCUCCGACCACGCGCCACGCCCUUCUAAAAGCUAAGUAUUUAAAAGUCUAUUUUGUUUCCUUUUGAUUUUAGGGUUUGCCCUUAUAUUUUUGAACUGUGCAUACAUUCACUCCAUCUAUUUUUCUGCCUUUGCCAAUUUUUCAGGGUUAAUCCCGAGGUUUCCUCCGACUGCCAACCAUAUCAGAUCAAAUGCAAAGCUAAGUGCUUUUCUUUGUUUAUUUAAUUAUUUUUAAACUCUUUAUCCUUUUAUUUUUAGGGUUAACCUCGUUUGCCUCCGAACCGAUAAUGCACUCACCCUUCUUUGUUUAUUCUUUCGUUUCCAAUUUUCAGGGUUUGUCAAAUUGCCAAAGUUACGCGUAUCGGUAACACUAAACCCUGUCCUCAAUUAUUACUUGUGUUAAACCCUUUGUUUUAAUUAUAUCCCGCUGGUUUCAAUUUCCCUCUCCUCCGCUGGUUAAAAUUUCCCUUCCCCGUUAUUACUGUUUAUAUUAAACUGUGUGGUUAGUAAUUCUAGGGAGUGCAACUUAUUAAUUGAAUUAGCAUCACGUAAUUUUACAAGAUAACAUAACUGAACAUGAUCACGUGAUUGUUGCACCCACGCACACUUUUGGGGUAACCUCUCUGUUGCCUCGUUGCCUGUUGCCUUGUGUUUUUUUGCAGAAUAGUCAGUCCCUCGAAUACGAGGAUACCUCAGCCAUGUUGCCUCGAUAAAUAAAGGUCAUACGACCCUAAUGAUGCUGCCUUCGAUACACUAAUAUGACCUCGACCCUCGGAAGUUGCCUACGAAAAAGGCUGAGGUAUCCUCUGGCUGCCUACGAAAAAGGCUAUUCUGAUCCUUCCCUUAGACUACCUGCCUCUCUAUGGCAUGGGUCAGUCUUGUGGCGAAUGAUAACUCGAUGACCCGUUUACCUCCAAAUGAAAGGCUUCCUGCCCUCUAUGGCAUGGAUAGACCCUUUCACCCUGAAAGGCUAAAAGAACUCUUUUUUUCAAAUUAUAAGGUAAUUGCCCCUAAUUGCCUUGCUCUGGCUAAAAUGUCUUUUAUCAACUUUUUCUUUUCUAAACACUUUCAAGGCUACACUCAUUUACGAGAUAAAGUCCUUGUUUCUUCAUCUUCUAUACAUUUCUAAACUUUUGGUUUCAAAACGAGCAAAGCAGUUAAGAGCCCAUGGAAAACCAUGGAUGCAAAGGGUGCCUUACACCUUCCAUUUGCAUAAUUACCCCUCGAACCCUAUUUUAUUUAAAAGGUUUUUCCUGUUCUUUUAGCCUUUCUAAUUAAUUUGGAUAAAAUAAAAGUCGGUGGCGACUCUUGCUUACCGCAACAUUUCUUUAAAG
Vicia villosa (hairy vetch) is the source of this 8089-nucleotide long non-coding RNA. RefSeq lists it as uncharacterized. The record is from RefSeq and is a predicted model, not a curated record. The transcript has 2 exons. Lineage: Eukaryota; Viridiplantae; Streptophyta; Magnoliopsida; Fabales; Fabaceae.